This 603-nucleotide ribosomal RNA is filed under the name uncultured fungus. RNAcentral's name for it is "eukaryotic LSU rRNA". It matches the Rfam family "Eukaryotic large subunit ribosomal RNA", at positions 23 to 641 of the family's 3401-position model. Lineage: Eukaryota; Fungi. The record is from RNAcentral.
ACCCGCUGAACUUAAGCAUAUCAAUAAGCGGAGGAAAAGAAACCAACAGGGAUUGCCCUAGUAACGGCGAGUGAAGCGGCAAAAGCUCAAAUUUGAAAUCUGGCGUCUUUGGCGUCCGAGUUGUAAUUUGCAGAGGGCGCUUUGGCAUUGGCAGCGGUCCAAGUUCCUUGGAACAGGACGUCACAGAGGGUGAGAAUCCCGUACGUGGUCGCUAGCCUUUACCGUGUAAAGCCCCUUCGACGAGUCGAGUUGUUUGGGAAUGCAGCUCUAAAUGGGAGGUAAAUUUCUUCUAAAGCUAAAUACUGGCCAGAGACCGAUAGCGCACAAGUAGAGUGAUCGAAAGAUGAAAAGCACUUUGGAAAGAGAGUUAAAAAGCACGUGAAAUUGUUGAAAGGGAAGCGCUUGCAGCCAGACUUGCCUGUAGUUGCUCAUCCGGGUUUUUACCCGGUGCACUCUUCUAUAGGCAGGCCAGCAUCAGUUUGGGCGGUUGGAUAAAGGUCUCUGUCAUGUACCUCUCUUCGGGGAGAACUUAUAGGGGAGACGACAUGCAACCAGCCCGGACUGAGGUCCGCGCAUCUGCUAGGAUGCUGGCGUAAUGGCUGU